GACGAACGCUGGCGGCGUGCUUAACACAUGCAAGUCGAACGGAAAGGCCUGCUUUCCCUUGUGGAUUGCGGGUACUCGAGUGGCGAACGGGUGAGUAACACGUGAGUGAUCUGCCCCCAACUUGGGUAUAAGCCUGGGAAACUGGGUCUAAUUCCCGAUAGGACUGCAGGGUGGUGCCUGUGGUGGAAAACGAUUUUCUAGUGGUUGGGGAUGAGCUCGCGGCCUAUCAGCUUGUUGGUGGGGUAAUGGCCUACCAAGGCGGCGGCGGGUAGCCGGCCUGAGAGGGUGGACGGCCACAUUGGGACUGAGAUACGGCCCAGACUCCUACGGGAGGCAGCAGUGGGGAAUAUUGCACAAUGGGCGGAAGCCUGAUGCAGCGACGCCGCGUGGGGGAUGACGGCCUUCGGGUUGUAAACUCCUUUCGACCGCGAGGAAGCCACCUGGUUGGAAGGGUGGUGACGGUAGUGGUAGAAGAAGCACCGGCUAACUACGUG
RNAcentral lists this ribosomal RNA (494 nucleotides) under uncultured bacterium. Its description in RNAcentral is "partial 16S ribosomal RNA". It matches the Rfam family "Bacterial small subunit ribosomal RNA", at positions 28 to 507 of the family's 1533-position model. The record is from RNAcentral.